RNAcentral lists this ribosomal RNA (346 nucleotides) under uncultured bacterium. Its description in RNAcentral is "partial 16S ribosomal RNA". It matches the Rfam family "Bacterial small subunit ribosomal RNA", at positions 338 to 681 of the family's 1533-position model. The record is from RNAcentral.
CCUACGGGUGGCAGCAGUGAGGAAUAGUGGUCAAUGGGCGCGAGCCUGAACCAGCCAAGUAGCGUGAAGGAUGACUGCCCUACGGGUUGUAAACUUCUGUUAUAAAGGAAUAAAGUGAGGCACGUGUGCCUUUUUGUAUGUACUUUAUGAAUAAGGAUCGGCUAACGCCGUGCCAGCAGCCGCGGUAAUACGGAGGGUCCGAGCGUUAUCCGGAUUGAUUGGGUUUAAAGGGAGCGUAGAUGGGUUGUUAAGUCAGUGGUGAAAGUUUGCGGCUCAACCGUAAAAUUGCAAGUGAUACUGGCAGUCCUGAGUACAGUUGAGGUUGGCUGCAUUCGUGGUGUAGCUG